AUGCGGGGCACACACAGGACUUCACAGCUGAACUGUGGCUCAGUUUGGCCUCACUGUGGCUACCUGGUGCUGCAUCCCGGGCUGUAUAACUCUGCUCGGAUGGACAGGAAAGUUUCCCGGGGGCUGGCCCGGGGGCUGCAGCCUCUCCCCAGCAGCUGCCCCCUGCCCACGGCUGCUCUCCCGGCGCGGCACACGGAGCGAUUGGAGGCGAGAUGCGGGGCGCGCUUUCCUGCAGCCCGAUGGCUGCCCCGCUUGGAGAAUUGGCCGGCGUGGGGACUAACGGGGGGACACUGCGCGAUUUCGGCGUGUGGCAGCGCGGCGGAGGAAGGAUGGGGCCCGCGGGGGCGGCCCUCGGGGAACGACCGGCCCCGGAGCUCGCUGCGGGCCCGACGGGGCGGGAGGGCGGCUCUGGGCUGCGGGGGGCGGCCGCCUCGUCGCCCCGUCGGGCCGGACGUGUCCGGCGGUGACACUUACCGGCUGCAGGACCCGCUCCUGCCUCGGCCACGAGCAGGCGGCACUCGGGAGCGCGCCCGGCCCGCGGUCCUGCCGCUGCCGCCCGGGGCCGCCCGGGAGCGCGCCUGGCGGGGCUGGAGCGGGCCGGGCUGGGCCGGGCUAGAAGCGAGCCGGCGUCUUCCCGUUUGUCCGCGCUGUUUGCUUUCACCCGCGUACAGCGAGCUGUCAGCUCGAAUCGUUUCUAACAGCAUCUUUUCAGGAAGCAGGACCCCCCCCAGGCCGUUUCUAAUACCGCAGGGCAGCCUUUCAGUUCGCUCGUCCCCUAGAUUAGUUUGGAAGGCCUUAAAACCUGUAAAAAUAAACGAUGCAUCAAACAAGUUUACAAACGCGCAGAGGUUACACGGCGUGCCGUCGGGCCGGCAAAGCGAGGGACGCCCGGCACUGCCCGGGGAAGCGGGUUGGCUUUCCCAAAAUCCCAGCGGCGGCCGUCCCGAGCAGUUUGGGGCCCCUCGCGGCCCGGGCACAGCCCCCGGGGGGCACCGCAGGUGCUAA
RNAcentral lists this long non-coding RNA (1005 nucleotides) under Anas zonorhyncha (Eastern spot-billed duck). Its description in RNAcentral is "lncRNA (ENSAZOG00000002171.1)". The record is from RNAcentral. Lineage: Eukaryota; Metazoa; Chordata; Aves; Anseriformes; Anatidae.